RNAcentral lists this ribosomal RNA (449 nucleotides) under uncultured bacterium. RNAcentral's name for it is "partial 16S ribosomal RNA". It matches the Rfam family "Bacterial small subunit ribosomal RNA", at positions 29 to 523 of the family's 1533-position model. The record is from RNAcentral.
AAUGAACGCUGGCGGCAGGCCUAACACAUGCAAGUCGAACGGGUCCUUCGGGACUAGUGGCGGACGGGUGAGUAACGCGUGGGAACGUGCCCUUUGCUACGGAAUAGCCCCGGGAAACUGGGAGUAAUACCGUAUAAGCCCUACGGGGGAAAGAUUUAUCGGCAAAGGAUCGGCCCGCGUUGGAUUAGGUAGUUGGCGGGGUAAUGGCCUACCAAGCCGACGAUCCAUAGCUGGUUUGAGAGGAUGAUCAGCCACACUGGGACUGAGACACGGACCAGACUCCUACGGGAGGCAGCAGUGGGGAAUCUUAGACAAUGGGGGAAACCCUGAUCUAGCCAUGCCGCGUGAUCGAUGAAGGCCUUAGGGUUGUAAAGAUCUUUCAGGUGGGAAGAUAAUGACUGUACCACCAGAAGAAGCCCCGGCUAACUCCGUGCCAGCAGCAGCCGCCG